CUGGCCUACGCUGAGUUCCUUUUCACGUUUUACUGAGGCGUCUUCUCUUUUGUGGUUUCCAGGUUUUACUCCCAACACAGAUGGAGACCUCUGGUUUACUGAAGAGGCAGGUCUCUGCUGAGUUUCAUGGAAAGACAUGGUUCUCCGUCUCUUGCCUCCUCCCGUUGCCUGGAUGCUUGGGUUCCAUUUUGAUCAGAUAUGCCCUGCGACUUCAGCCCAUUUGUUUCCCCUUGGAGGAGCCAGACAAGAUUCUCGUUUAUUCACUUGUAAUCAGCUACUGCCAUCGCAAAGAGUCACACAGAGCGCGGGAAGCCUGCUGCUAUGUCAUGAGGACACUCAACAACCCUAUGAAGAGGACCGUGUGGCAUAGAAGAUGCCUCCUACCAACAAUCAACACUAACUUACUAGGUCUCUGAGUAAGUCAAACUGGAAGCAAUUCUCCAGCCCUAGUCAUGCUUUUGGACAACUGCAGCCCCAGUCAGCAUCUUCACAGACACCUCAUGAGAGACCCUGAAUCAGAACCAUCUAGCUCAGUCGCUCUUGAACAUUGCACCACAGAAAUAGUGUGAAAUAAUAAAUGUGUACUGUUGUUUUGGCUGUCAUGCAGCAAAUGUAUAACCAAUAUUACAACAAAACCUAAAACUCUUCCUGUGUUUUCUUCCUCGGACGUGUACACCACAAUCCAAUUUCAACAAAUCAUGCAGGAAUAAUGAGGAUCUGGUUUAAGGUAGUGGGAACAGAUGUGGCAAGAGCUGAGUGGACUACAUAGACAUUAAGGAAGCAUUUGAUAGACUUGGUGCACAAGGUAGAGAGUAAGAGAGUGAGAGGAGUUUAGGAUGAGGGGUUUGUUCACUUGGUUUUAUGUUUUGCUGAGCUCAGUUCCAAAAGGAAUGGAAGAAAAAUUCAGUCAAAUAACAUUUAAUGAGUUAGGACUUUUUUCAUCCAUCAGUUUGUACAAUUUCUUCAUAAAAAUCAGAUUUUAAACAUUGUGAUUGAAGAGAAAAAAUGGCCAGAGGAGGCUACCUUU
RNAcentral lists this long non-coding RNA (1027 nucleotides) under Mustela putorius furo (domestic ferret). Its description in RNAcentral is "lncRNA (ENSMPUG00000024120.1)". The record is from RNAcentral. Lineage: Eukaryota; Metazoa; Chordata; Mammalia; Carnivora; Mustelidae.